Molecule: unclassified non-coding RNA, 148 nt
Filed under: uncultured Helotiales
Lineage: Eukaryota; Fungi; Ascomycota; Leotiomycetes; Helotiales
Description: sequence contains ITS2
Source: RNAcentral
CACCCCUCAAGCUCAGCUUGGUCUUGGGCUCCGCCGCUCACCCGGCGGGCCCUAAAAUCAGUGGCGGCGCCGCUGUGGCCCUGCGCGUAGUAAACCUCCUCGCUACAGGGACCCGGCGAACGCUGGCCAGCAACCCCCAACCCUCCAC